AUUAUUUAUUUAUUUCAAACACUAUUACAUUUGCAGACUAUUAUUUAUAAAGGGAAGACAAAAUUAUUUUUCUAUAUUACAUUAAUUCAAAACUGGCCUGCUAAGCAAAGAUAUGUAAACUGUAAUUUUAUAAACACAAUGAGGAAUUUAUUGUACAAAUUGCUCUUUCCCCAAGAACAUCUUGAAAAAAAGUUUAAAAAUAGAUGCCAAAAAUAUCCCCCUUUAAAUAUACAUGUCCAUUCUGUUCCUAAAGAUAUCCUUCAUUAAAAACACCUGUCUUUUAUUAACACCCCCUCCCAAAUCCCAUGUUAACUGAAACCUAGCCGAAGAGUACUACUAGUAGUACUGUAAGUAGUGAAGGCAUAAAUAGUGUGGAAAGCCCUGUGCAAAGUGAUGACAGCACAGUACUUACAGAUUAUAAUGUUCAUUAUAUUUGCAUUUGUUUCAGUGAAUGCUGUAGAAAGCUAAAACUGGUGGAACCUGUACAAAUUAUUUGGGGGUGGAUAUUCAUAUUUAGAUGGGUAAUUUUUAAGUAUCAGAGAAUCCAGGCAAAGCACACACCAACUGUUGCUUUUAAUCCUGCUAGUCAAUAGGGCUUUUUUUCAGAAACUGAGGUUGAUUAAUUCAAAUUAUUUCAAAUGUUUAAUAAAGUAAGUCCACAUUGGAGCCCUAGAUCAAGACAUUUCAAAGGCUUCCAAAUACUUUUGGAGAAAACUUCUUGAUAUACAUUUAUUUAAUGCAUGAAAUACCACUAGGUAGACACCUGAAUGAAUAAGAGAACACAUCUUCAAACAUUUUACAUUUGUUUUUCUUUGCCCAGCAGGGAGUACCUUCAUGCUCUUCAUACCCCAAGAGAAAGUGAACUUGAAACCUUUCCUCUUUUUUUUUUUUAUAGUCCUUUCUGGCACUUCUUUUGGAAUGAGGCUUUCAGGAAACUGCGGUAGCUGGGGUCAUCCACAUACUCAUUCUUAAAUCUGGAGCUCAAUACCCGCUGCCUUUUCUUUUGUCCUUGGAUAAUAUCGGCACCAUAGAACGUAUCUUCAAACCUCAUAUCAGAAGCUGUAGACUAAAAACAGAGAUUAAGAAUAUGUUUCACCUUUAUCUAUAUUGCCCCUCCUGACAGAGGAU
This 1128-nucleotide long non-coding RNA is filed under the name Laticauda laticaudata (blue-ringed sea krait). RNAcentral describes it as "lncRNA (ENSLLTG00000001660.1)". Lineage: Eukaryota; Metazoa; Chordata; Lepidosauria; Squamata; Elapidae. The record is from RNAcentral.